Molecule: ribosomal RNA, 493 nt
Filed under: uncultured bacterium
Lineage: Bacteria
Description: bacterial SSU rRNA
Rfam family: Bacterial small subunit ribosomal RNA
Source: RNAcentral
GAUGAACGCUGGCGGCGUGCCUAACACAUGCAAGUCGAGCGCGAUUAAGUGGAGUGAGGACUUCGGUCUAAGUGAAGCUUAUGAAAGCGGCGGACGGGUGAGUAACGCGUGGGUAACCUGCCCCAUACAAAGGGAUAGCCACUGGAAACGGUGAUUAAUACCUUAUAAGUCGGUAGUCUCGCAUGAGACAGCCGACAAAGAUUUAUCGGUAUGGGAUGGACCCGCGUCUGAUUAGCUAGUUGGUGAGGUAACGGCUCACCAAGGCGACGAUCAGUAGCCGACCUGAGAGGGUGAUCGGCCACACUGGAACUGAGACACGGUCCAGACUCCUACGGGAGGCAGCAGUGGGGAAUAUUGCACAAUGGGCGCAAGCCUGAUGCAGCAACGCCGCGUGAGUGAUGAAGGCUUUCGGGUCGUAAAACUCUGUCCUAUGGGAAGAAAAAAAUAGACGGUACCAUAGGAGGAAGCCCGGCUAACUACGUGCCAGCAGCCG